This 258-nucleotide ribosomal RNA is filed under the name uncultured bacterium. RNAcentral describes it as "partial 16S ribosomal RNA". It matches the Rfam family "Bacterial small subunit ribosomal RNA", at positions 99 to 353 of the family's 1533-position model. The record is from RNAcentral.
CGAACGGGUGAGUAACGCGUGAGGAACCUGCCUCAAAGAGGGGGACAACAGUUGGAAACGACUGCUAAUACCGCAUAAGCCCACGGUGCCGCAUGGCACAGAGGGAAAAGGAGCAAUCCGCUUUGAGAUGGCCUCGCGUCCGAUUAGCUAGUUGGUGAGGUAACGGCCCACCAAGGCAACGAUCGGUAGCCGGGCUGAGAGGUUGAACGGCCACAUUGGGACUGAGACACGGCCCAGACUCCUACGGGAGGCAGCAUG